This 461-nucleotide ribosomal RNA is filed under the name uncultured Sphingobacteriaceae bacterium. RNAcentral describes it as "bacterial SSU rRNA". It matches the Rfam family "Bacterial small subunit ribosomal RNA", at positions 337 to 795 of the family's 1533-position model. The record is from RNAcentral. Lineage: Bacteria; Pseudomonadati; Bacteroidota; Sphingobacteriia; Sphingobacteriales; Sphingobacteriaceae.
UCCUACGGGGGGCUGCAGUAAGGAAUAUUGGUCAAUGGACGGAAGUCUGAACCAGCCAUGCCGCGUGCAGGAAGACGGCCCUAUGGGUUGUAAACUGCUUUUGCAGGGGAAUAAACCUUCGUAUGUAUACGAAGCUGAAUGUACUCUGAGAAUAAGGAUCGGCUCACUCCGUGCCAGCAGCCGCGGUAAUACGGAGGAUCCGAGCGUUAUCCGGAUUUAUUGGGUUUAAAGGGUGCGUAGGCGGCUUUUUAAGUCAGGGGUGAAAGACGGUAGCUUAACUAUCGCAGUGCCCUUGAUACUGAAGAGCUUGAAUGUAGUUGAGGUAGGCGGAAUGUGACAAGUAGCGGUGAAAUGCAUAGAUAUGUCACAGAACACCAAUUGCGAAGGCAGCUUACUAAGCUAUGAUUGACGCUGAGGCACGAAAGCGUGGGGAUCAAACAGGAUUAGAUACCCCAGUAGUC